AUUGAACGCUGGCGGAAUGCUUUACACAUGCAAGUCGAGCGGCAGCGCGGGGCAACCCUGGCGGCGAGCGGGCGAACGGGUGAGUAAUACAUCGGAACGUGUCCUUAAGUGGGGGAUAGCUCGGCGAAAGCCGGAUUAAUACCGCAUAAGCUCUGAGGAGGAAAGCGGGGGCUCCGUAAGGACCUCGCGCUGUUGGAGCGGCCGAUGUCGGAUUAGCUAGUUGGUGGG
Molecule: ribosomal RNA, 228 nt
Filed under: uncultured bacterium
Lineage: Bacteria
Description: partial 16S ribosomal RNA
Rfam family: Bacterial small subunit ribosomal RNA
Source: RNAcentral